UUCCGAAUGGGGAAACCCAGUGUGUUUCGACACACUAUCAUUAACUGAAUCCAUAGGUUAAUGAGGCGAACCGGGGGAACUGAAACAUCUAAGUACCCCGAGGAAAAGAAAUCAACCGAGAUUCCCCCAGUAGCGGCGAGCGAACGGGGAGGAGCCCAGAGCCUGAAUCAGUGUGUGUGUUAGUGGAAGCGUCUGGAAAGGCGCGCGAUACAGGGUGACAGCCCCGUACACAAAAAUGCACAUAUUGUGAGCUCGAUGAGUAGGGCGGGACACGUGGUAUCCUGUCUGAAUAUGGGGGGACCAUCCUCCAAGGCUAAAUACUCCUGACUGACCGAUAGUGAACCAGUACCGUGAGGGAAAGGCGAAAAGAACCCCGGCGAGGGGAGUGAAAAAGAACCUGAAACCGUGUACGUACAAGCAGUGGGAGCCUCUU
This 433-nucleotide ribosomal RNA is filed under the name Escherichia coli. Its description in RNAcentral is "partial 23S ribosomal RNA". It matches the Rfam family "Bacterial large subunit ribosomal RNA", at positions 112 to 585 of the family's 2925-position model. The record is from RNAcentral. Lineage: Bacteria; Pseudomonadati; Pseudomonadota; Gammaproteobacteria; Enterobacterales; Enterobacteriaceae.